AGACAGCACCCAAACCCCCGGGGCCCGGCCCCCGCCCCGCCAGGGAGCAGCGAUGGCGCGGCCUCCCCGGAGCUGCGGUGCCCCGGCUGCAGCGGCCGCCCCGCGCCCGUCCCCCGAGCUCCCGUCGUGGCCCCUGCAGCUGCGCUCCCUCACGGACCCUGGGCCUCGGCUCCUCGCGUUUGCUUCCCUGCUUCCUCGGGACAGCCCUCUCUACUUCCACAGACCCGUUCCCAUGGCCUUCCAAAAUCCCCUGCCACCGGCUGCGUGCUCUUCCAUCAUUUCCUUCCCCCAGCCGCCUCGCUUCUGCUUCACAGAAUCACGGGAUCAAUUAGAUGAGAUUGUUCCUUCACUAUGUCAGCACUAUACCAGACAAUGGCUCCUUGCUAAGCCAGGCCGCAUUUCUCACUCCACAGAUGGCAGAAGUUACUCAUCCAUCAAGUUUAAGCCAGGCCAAGAAGAAAUCAAAUCAGAACAUGAGUGGAGAGUUCGCUUACCGGGUAACAUUGAGCCUAGGAGAGAGGUGGAAGACUCACGUCAGAGGAUAACUUGGACUGAAGAACUUGUUGAAGUGCCAAUUAAUUUCUUCUCACGGCUAGAGGAAGACAUUAAAUGA
Molecule: long non-coding RNA, 613 nt
Organism: Cyanistes caeruleus (blue tit)
Lineage: Eukaryota; Metazoa; Chordata; Aves; Passeriformes; Paridae
Source: Ensembl